This 161-nucleotide unclassified non-coding RNA is filed under the name uncultured Helotiales. RNAcentral describes it as "sequence contains ITS1". Lineage: Eukaryota; Fungi; Ascomycota; Leotiomycetes; Helotiales. The record is from RNAcentral.
CAGAGUUCAUGCCCUAACGGGUAGAUCUCCCACCCAAUGUUAUUAUUACUUUGUUGCUUUGGCGGGCCGUCAGGUCACUGCCACCGGCCUCGGCUGGUGUGCGCCCGCCAGAGACCCAAAACCCUGAAUAUUAGUGUCGUCUGAGUACUAUAUAAUAGUUA